GCCUCUCCUCGCCCCGCUAUCUGUUAUCUGCUGAGCAGAGAAAUGGCUUCCAUGUCUGUAACCUGCUUCUCUCCACAAGCUCUAGCGCGCCCGAGAACUCAAAACCCUAAACGUAAAAAAUACUCUCCAGAGAAACAUUCUCGUAUCGCUAAUGGGAACCGCAGCUCUAAUUUCAAGCCUCAAAAGAGUAAGAACAAGUCUGUGCCACCACCGCUAGCUGGCGGCGAAGCUACCACUUAUACCAGCCUUCCUCCAAGAGAAGAUUUCACGGUUCCUUCACUCAGUUUUGCUGCAGCGGAAAUUAAGCUCUCCCAUUCAAGUGUAGCGCAAAUUAAUAGUGACAGUAAGGUUAACCGUUUAAGCAGCAAAGGAGAAGAAGAAGAAGAAGAAGAAGAUGAUGAUGAAAUCAAUGGAAAUUUUCCGGUUGAUUCUGGGAAAUCUGAAUAUGAUGGUGAUGAAUGCGUUUACUCGAGUGAAGAAAAAAAUGUUUUCAAUGAGAAAAGUUUAAAUGAUCGUAAUAGCAAUUGUAAUGAAGCACAGGAGAUUGAGGAGUUUGCCAAUGGCGAAACCUCAAAUUUACCGGAUUUCGAGAAUAUAGACUUGAAGGAGAAAGGAGUGCCAGCAGUAAUGCGAUGCUUCGAUCGCGCCAAAAUUUACGUGAGAGCCGGAGAUGGUGGAAAUGGCGUCGUAGCAUUUCGGCGAGAGAAGUUUGUGCCCAUGGGUGGUCCGUCCGGUGGGGAUGGAGGGAGAGGGGGACAUGUGUAUGUAGAAGUCGAUGGUUCGAUGAAUUCGUUGUUGCCAUUUAGGAACAAAGUGCAUUUCAGGGGGGGAAGAGGGUCUCACGGGAUGGGGAUGAUGCAAGAUGGGGCGAGAGGAGAGGACGUGGUAGUGAAAGUGCCACCAGGAACGGUUGUUAUGGAGGCGGGUAAAGAGGAGGUAUUGUUGGAGUUGUUGCAUCCAGGACAACGGGCUCUUUUGUUGCGAGGUGGAAGAGGUGGCAGAGGGAAUGCGGCUUUUAAGUGUGGCAGCAAUAAGGUGCCCAAAAUUGCAGAGAACGGUGAAGAAGGUGUAGAAAUGUGGUUGGAGCUCGAGCUAAAGCUUGUUGCUGAUGUUGGAAUCGUGGGUGCCCCAAAUGCUGGGAAAAGUACAUUUUUGAGUGUGAUAAGUGCUGCACAGCCAACAAUAGCAAAUUAUCCUUUUACUACUUUACUUCCUAACCUCGGUGUAGUUUCAUUUGAUUAUGAUUCCACAUUGGUAGUAGCAGACCUGCCUGGUCUGCUUGAAGGAGCACAUUCUGGUUUUGGCUUGGGCCAUGAGUUUCUACGACACACAGAAAGGUGUUCUGCCCUGGUGCAUAUUGUUGAUGGCUCCUCCCAGCAACCAGAAUUUGAGUAUGAUGCUGUUCGUCUUGAGCUGGAAAUGUUUAAUCCAGAACUUGCUGAGAAACCUUUUGUAGUUGCCUAUAACAAAAUGGACCUUCCAGACGCAUAUGAAAAUUGGUUAUCAUUCAAGGAAAAGCUACAAGCUCGUGGAAUUGUGCCUUUCUGCAUGAGUGCUGUGAAGAGAGAAGGCACUUAUGAAGUGAUAAGUGCUGCUUACGAGCUUCUAAGAAAAUAUAAAGAAUCCAAUCAGGAGUUUGAAGGUUUGACAGAGCCAGGAAAUUUGGAUCAUGUAGCUGAUAUGGUACAGAAGCGGCGGAGAGCCCCUAUCACGGACUUUGAGAUCCUUUAUGAUAGUGGUUCCAAUUUUUGGCAAAUUGUUGGCACUGGUUUGGAUCGAUUUGUUCAGAUGACAAAUUGGAGCUAUGGGGACUCUGUAAGAAGGUUCCAGCAUGUUUUGGCAGCUUGUGGUGUGGAUAAGGCUCUCAAAAAAAAGGGUGUCAAAGAAGGUGACACAGUAUAUGUCGGAGGGAUGGCAAUGGUGUGGAAUGAUUCUUCCACCGAUAGUUCCAGUCCAUCCAAUAUGAAAUCCAAAUGGCCGCAGUUGAUGUAGUCCUCUUGUUUUUCAUUGAUAACAGCAGGCAUUUGCUACAGCCUACAUGCAUGGACGCAUGGAUCAUUGCACACAACUCUCUUAUUUGAUGGAUAUGUUAAUUUGGGGGAAUCGAUGUUUACAAGAGUGAUAUGGACACUUCAGGGUAGCUGCAGCACCCAAAAGUUUUAAGGCAAGUAAAUUUGAGCUUGUCUUCCAGCGAGCCAUGAUACUAAUGGAUGCAAAUGGAUUUUCAGGCACCAUCUGAUAUCCGAAACUAGAGACCCUCAUGCUCAUUCUUUCUUAGUAGAGAUCUUUUUUCAAAAAAUAUUUUGUAGUGUGAUAAUGUAUUUGUUAGUUUUUGCAGAUGAUAGAAUAUAUGUAUCAGCUCCUAAAUUAUGACCUUGUUGUAUAAUAGAAAGGAAGGUUGGGAUUUGAUUAUUGCAUCUGGCAGAAAGGGGUGGGAGAAUAAUUAGUACAGAAAUGUGAAACUAUAUAUGGUAGCAUCUUACCUUUAUUUAGAGAUACAAUAAUAUGGAUGAUUUCCUUUUUUUUUU
Molecule: RNA transcript, 2528 nt
Organism: Jatropha curcas
Lineage: Eukaryota; Viridiplantae; Streptophyta; Magnoliopsida; Malpighiales; Euphorbiaceae
Gene: EMB269
Gene name: GTP1/OBG family protein
Source: RefSeq, a predicted model, not a curated record